Molecule: ribosomal RNA, 1476 nt
Filed under: metagenome
Description: bacterial SSU rRNA
Rfam family: Bacterial small subunit ribosomal RNA
Source: RNAcentral
AGAGUUUGAUUCUGGCUCAGAACGAACGCUGGCGGCGUGGAUAAGACAUGCAAGUCGAACGGGAUCAUCUGGUAGUAAUACUAGGUGGUUCAGUGGCGAACGGGUGCGUAACACGUGGGUCACAUUCCGGGAAGUGAGGCAUAGCCCAGGGAAACUUGGAUUAAUUCUUCAUGUGGUCGCAAGACUAAAGGCGCAAGCCGCUUCCUGAUUGGCCCGCGGCCUAUCAGCUAGUUGGCGGGGUAAAAGCCCACCAAGGCGACGACGGGUAGCUGGUCUUAGAGGACGACCAGCCACACUGGAACUGAGACACGGUCCAGACACCUACGGGUGGCAGCAGUCGAGAAUCUUUCACAAUGGGGGCAACCCUGAUGGAGCGACGCCGCGUGGAGGAUAAGGUCUUCGGAUUGCAAACUCCUGUCAUGCGAGAACAAAGCCUUAUGGGUGUGAUAGUAUCGCAAGAGGAAGAGACGGCUAACUCUGUGCCAGCAGCCGCGGUAAUACAGAGGUCUCAAGCGUUGUUCGGAAUCACUGGGCGUAAAGGGUGUGUAGGCGGCGUGAAAAGUCAGAUGUGAAAUCUGGGGGCUCAACCCCCAAAUAGCAUCCGAUACUGUCAUGCUGGAGGUCUGUAGAGGAGUCUGGAAUUCUCGGUGUAGCAGUGAAAUGCGUAGAGAUCGAGAGGAACACUUGUUGCGAAAGCGAGACUCUGGGCAGAAACUGACGCUGAAACACGAAGGCCAGGGUAGCGAACGGGAUUAGAUACCCCGGUAGUCCUGGCAGUAAACGGUGCACGUUUGGUGUGGGAGGAAUCGACCCCUUCCGUGCCGGAGUUAACACGUUAAACGUGCCGCCUGGGAAGUACGGUCGCAAGAUUAAAACUCAAAGAAAUUGACGGGGACCCGCACAAGCGGUGGAGUAUGUGGCUUAAUUCGAUGCAACGCGAAGAACCUUACCUGGGCUUGACAUGCAUCUCUAAGGUGGUGAAAGCCAUCGACCCUAGCAAUAGGGAAUUUGCACAGGUGCUGCAUGGCUGUCGUCAGCUCGUGUCGUGAGAUGUUGGGUUAAGUCCCGCAACGAGCGCAACCCCUGUAGAUUGUUGCCACCGGAGAAAUCCGCGCACUCAAGCUAGACUGCCCAGUUUAACUGGGAGGAAGGUGGGGACGACGUCAAGUCCGUAUGGCCCUUACGCCCAGGGCUGCACACGUACUACAAUGCUCAGUACAAUAGGAACUAAGACCGCAAGGUGGAAGAAAUCCGUUAAAACUGGGCUCAGUUCAGAUUGCAGGCUGCAACUCGCCUGCAUGAAGUUGGAAUCGCUAGUAAUGGCGCAUCAGCUACGGCGCCGUGAAUACGUUCCCGGGUCUUGUACACACCGCCCGUCACAUCAUGGGAGCUGGUUGUGCCCAAAGUGCCCUCACGGGUCCAAAGGCGCGACUGGCGACUGGGAUGAAGUCGUAACAAGGUAGCCGUAGGGGGCCU